GGCUCUGUGGCGCAAUGGAUAGGGCAUUGGACUUCUAGGCUGUGAGCUGAGCCAUUCAAAGGUUGUGGGUUCGAGUCCCACCAGAGUCG
RNAcentral lists this transfer RNA (89 nucleotides) under Danio rerio (zebrafish). It matches the Rfam family "tRNA". From Rfam's summary of the family: Transfer RNA (tRNA) molecules are approximately 80 nucleotides in length. Their secondary structure includes four short double-helical elements and three loops (D, anti-codon, and T loops). The record is from Rfam by way of RNAcentral. Lineage: Eukaryota; Metazoa; Chordata; Actinopteri; Cypriniformes; Danionidae.